CAGAGUUUUGCCCAAGCGCAGCUGAUGGGGGAGGAUGGAGUUUCUGGGAACCUCUCAGACCGCCAGUUACUGUGGCCCCAAGAAAGCCUGUGCCUUCAGGGCACUGCCCCCCGCUGGGCCCGCCCCGGAGACCCAGGAAUGUUACCAGACCUAUUCCCUGCCUGGCUACCGCUACCUGAAGUCAUGGAGACCCAGCCUCUUCUACAAGGUCUCCAACGCCCAGACCUGCGUGGACGAGAGAGCCACGUGCCGCAGCCCCCUGAGGCCCCCCACCAUCCUGCCAGCGCUCCGCUCGGCGCUCUUCUGCCGCUACAGCCCACGCGACUGGGACAAGUCCAACGAUCUGCAGAUGCGAGGGGCCGAGGCCUCACGGCUGUGGGCCAGCCGGCUGACGGGCGACUCCAUGCGGCUCAUGCAGGACAAGGACGAGCUGACGCGCCAGAUGCAGGAGGGGACCUGCCGGAACCUGGGCCAGCGGCUGUCGGACAUUGGCUUCUGGAAGUCCGAGCUGGGCUACGAGCUGGAGAGGCUUCUGAACGAGACCCACAGCAUGGAGACGGUCAAGAGGCGGCUGGAGUGUGCGGCCGAGGAACUCAACUGUCCGCUGCAGGUGGCCGUGGAGUGUCUGUACCAUCGAGAGAAAAGGAUAGGGACUGACUUGGUCCACGACAAUGUGGAGAAAAACCUUAUCCAGGAAGUGGAUUUGCUAAAAUGUUGCCAAGAACACAUGAGAAAACUAGCUCAAAGAAUUGAUAUCCAGAUGCGGGAUAACCGAGAUGCUCAGCAUGCUCUCGAGAGGGACCUUGAGGACAAAAGCUCGGCCCAGUUUAUCGAUGAGAAGUGCUAUAACCUGAGGAACACGUCAGACUGCAUCACUUUCUUCCACGGCAUGGAGAAAGUCGAUGGCACGGUCUCCGUGCCCGAGACCUGGGCCAAGUUCAGUAACGACAACAUCAGGCACUCACAGAACAUGCGGGCCAACUCCAUCCGGCUGCGGGAGGAGGCUGAGAACCUCUUGGAGACCUUGUCAGACCAGAUGUGGAAGCAGUUUACUAACACCAACCUGGCCUUCAGCGCCCGCAUCUCCGAGGUGACAGACGUGAAGAAUAAGCUCCAGACACAGCUGGCUAAGACACUGCAGGAGAUCUUCCAGGCUGAGAAUACCAUCAUGCUUCUGGAAAGGUCCAUCAUGGCCAAGGAGUGCCCACUGAAGGUGGCGCAGACGAGGCUGGAGUGCCGGACCUGGCGCCCCAACGUGGAGCUGUGCAGGGACAUCCCACAGUUCAAGCUCGUGAACGAGGUAUUCACCAUCGACGACACCUUGCAGACCCUGAGGCUGAGGCUGCGGGAGACCCAGGACACGCUGCAGCUGCUGGAGCACAGUGUGUAGACCACGGGAUCUGAAGACCGGAUACUGGAGCCGAGAUUGGCCAGAACCCAGCUGUCACUUAGGAGCUGGGUGGCCUUGAACGGGCUCCCAGCCGGAGCACCCUCAUGUACAAAAUGAGAAAGGAGAUCAAGUCCUAAAGAGGUGUUAAAGACGACCUACCAUCCUGUGGAGACUGUCCUUGAGAGCGACCAGAGCAUCCUUGGGAAAACAGGGGUUGGAUCCAUAACUCCCGGGUUUAAACUGUUCAUGGGCUUCCUGCUGCGCGGCGGAUAAAUCCAAACUCCUACCACAGCCCAAAGUAAACUCCUUGAGGGCAGGGACCUUGUCUGGCCUUUUUGCUGUGAGUUCUUGGGCCUGGAAAACGCUCAGUAACCUUUGGCUGAAUAAAUGAACAAAAGAAAUCGACAUCGUCUCCAAGCACGUAGUGCGUGCAAGUGACAGCUUGAGAAGCCGGAUGAACUUUCUCUGCAAAGCCCAGGGUGUGGCUGGGAGGGAAGACAGAAGGAGUUUGGCCCCAGCGGGUCUUCCUGGGUUCUCCUACCCCUCCGGAGUGCACUCGCAUCCAGCCCUGGGUGUGUUGAAUGGGCGGCCACUCACACAACUGCAAAGAGGAAAGCUUCAGGUUUAUUCCAGAACAAGUUUUCCUGAAUUCGGUCAUCUCCGUAUCACGAUCAUCACCACCAUUUCUGCACCUCCUGCCUGUGCUGUUAGUUAAGAGCUCGUUAAACUCUG
This is an RNA transcript of Prionailurus viverrinus (fishing cat), 2122 nucleotides long. It is a transcript of the gene named tektin 5, with no coding region annotated. NCBI's taxonomy places the organism in Eukaryota, Metazoa, Chordata, Mammalia, Carnivora, Felidae. The record is from RefSeq and is a predicted model, not a curated record. The transcript is spliced from 13 exons.